AAAUCCGUUGGUUUUAUAGAUCG
RNAcentral lists this transfer RNA (23 nucleotides) under Chamaecyparis pisifera (sawara cypress). RNAcentral describes it as "partial tRNA-Leu". Lineage: Eukaryota; Viridiplantae; Streptophyta; Pinopsida; Cupressales; Cupressaceae. The record is from RNAcentral. RNAcentral also lists the same sequence under 2 other names.